Molecule: ribosomal RNA, 503 nt
Filed under: uncultured bacterium
Lineage: Bacteria
Description: bacterial SSU rRNA
Rfam family: Bacterial small subunit ribosomal RNA
Source: RNAcentral
AUUGAACGCUGGCGGCGCGCCUAACACAUGCAAGUCGAACGUGAAAGUCCUUCGGGAUGAGUAAAGUGGCGCACGGGUGAGUAACACGUAGGUGACCUACCUUUUAGAGGGGAAUAACCAGAUGAAAAUUUGGCUAAUGCCGCAUACGAAGUACAAAUAUAAUAGUAGUACUUGAAAGAAUGCCUCUGUAUAUGCAUUCACUAUUAGAUGGGCCUGCGGGACAUUAGCUAGUUGGUGGGUAAUGGCCUACCAAGGCAACGAUGUCUAUCCGGUCUGAGAGGAUGAUCGGACACACUGGAACUGAGACACGGUCCAGACUCCUACGGGAGGCAGCAGUGGGGAAUAUUGCGCAAUGGGGGGAAACCCUGACGCAGCAACGCCGCGUGAGUGAGAAGGACUUCGGUCUGUAAAGCUCUGUUAAUGUGGAAAAAUAGGUUAGCGGUCUAAUAGGCCGUUGAUUUGAUGGUACACAAUAGAGGAAGCACCGGCUAACUUCGUGCCAG